GAUGAACGCUGGCGGCGUGCCUAAUACAUGCAAGUCGAGCGAACAGAUGAGGAGCUUGCUCCUCUGACGUUAGCGGCGGACGGGUGAGUAACACGUGGAUAACCUACCUAUAAGACUGGGAUAACUUCGGGAAACCGGAGCUAAUACCGGAUAAUAUAUUGAACCGCAUGGUUCAAUAGUGAAAGACGGUUUUGCUGUCACUUAUAGAGGGAUCCGCGCCGCAUUAGCUAGUUGGUAAGGUAACGGCUUACCAAGGCAACGAUGCGUAGCCGACCUGAGAGGGUGAUCGGCCACACUGGAACUGAGACACGGUCCAGACUCCUACGGGAGGCAACAGUAGGGAAUCUUCCGCAAUGGGCGAAAGCCUGACGGAGCAACGCCGCGUGAGUGAUGAAGGUCUUCGGAUCGUAAAACUCUGUUAUUAGGGAAGAACAAAUGUGUAAGUAACUAUGCACGUCUUGACGGUACCUAAUCAGAAAGCCACGGCUAACUACGUG
Molecule: ribosomal RNA, 497 nt
Filed under: uncultured bacterium
Lineage: Bacteria
Description: partial 16S ribosomal RNA
Rfam family: Bacterial small subunit ribosomal RNA
Source: RNAcentral